GAUGAACGCUGGCGGCGUGCCUAAUACAUGCAAGUCGAGCGAACAGACGAGAAGCUUGCUUCUCUGAUGUUAGCGGCGGACGGGUGAGUAACACGUGGAUAACCUACCUAUAAGACUGGGAUAACUUCGGGAAACCGGAGCUAAUACCGGAUAAUAUUUUGAACCGCAUGGUUCAAAAGUGAAAGACGGUCUUGCUGUCACUUAUAGAUGGAUCCGCGCUGCAUUAGCUAGUUGGUAAGGUAACGGCUUACCAAGGCAACGAUGCAUAGCCGACCUGAGAGGGUGAUCGGCCACACUGGAACUGAGACACGGUCCAGACUCCUACGGGAGGCAGCAGUAGGGAAUCUUCCGCAAUGGGCGAAAGCCUGACGGAGCAACGCCGCGUGAGUGAUGAAGGUCUUCGGAUCGUAAAACUCUGUUACUAGGGAAGAACAUAUGUGUAAGUAACUGUGCACAUCUUGACGGUACCUAAUCAGAAAGCCACGGCUAACUACGU
This 496-nucleotide ribosomal RNA is filed under the name uncultured bacterium. Its description in RNAcentral is "partial 16S ribosomal RNA". It matches the Rfam family "Bacterial small subunit ribosomal RNA", at positions 28 to 506 of the family's 1533-position model. The record is from RNAcentral.